Long non-coding RNA from Catharus ustulatus (Swainson's thrush), 865 nucleotides. RefSeq lists it as uncharacterized. Lineage: Eukaryota; Metazoa; Chordata; Aves; Passeriformes; Turdidae. The record is from RefSeq and is a predicted model, not a curated record. The transcript has 3 exons.
UCGGUAUUUAGCAAAGGGGGUUACCCGCAACAAAACCCCCUUUCCCCCAUUCUCUUUUCUUUUAUUUUUCCCCCUAGUUUCUCCUUUUCUUUUGAGGUGUUUCCUGGUGUUCUCCAGCAGUUUAUGAAGCACCCCAGCGCUGGAAGGUGACUUUCUGUCAGCUGAACAUCCCUGGAAUCACAGGUGUGCAGCUGGCACAGCCAAGAUUUCUGCGAUGCCCCACCACACCCCACGUGUUCCUGAGCUGUCUCCCAGCCAAACCUCAGCAUCAUGGGCUCCCUGAGGUGACCCUCUGGCUAUCAAGCCCUAGAAUAAAUAGCCCUAUUGAUGACAGCAAUCUAAACAGAUGCAAACUAUUGCACCUGACUGAGUGUGGUAGUGAGCUGCCUUCACCUUUAUCUGCUGCUACUGGACAGAUGAAUCCACACUACAGCAGAGCACUUGCAGAUUACUAUCUUUCUUCUGUGAAAAUUUGCCUAUCAGUGCAAGUGGCAUCUGGAGAUGGGAAAGCAGAGCUUCAGGAAAUUGGACAGGAGGCUGGCUGAAAGUGUACCAGAGCUCUACAGGGAUUUCUUGUGCCUUUUCAAGGAAGGGUUUGCUGUGUUCUCGAAUGUGUAAAUAUUGUUUGGGGCUUGUUUUGUUUUGUUUUGUUUUUUAUCUCAAGUGCUUGCCAAGGAAAUUGAACUGUACAAACAUAAUUAGCCAGGGGCUGAACAUUUAAUCUUAAAUUCUGAGUCUUCAUUAAGUCUUAAUUUAAACCUCAGGAGGGAAGCUUGCAACCAUUCCUGUUCAUAAGGAUGGAUGGACUUUGUGGCAGGUUUUUAUGGUAGAAGAGGGAAACCACUCAAAUGUUUGGGAAAAAAAA